Molecule: small nuclear RNA, 334 nt
Filed under: Ursus americanus (American black bear)
Lineage: Eukaryota; Metazoa; Chordata; Mammalia; Carnivora; Ursidae
Description: 7SK RNA (ENSUAMG00000006603.1)
Rfam family: 7SK RNA
About the family: 7SK was discovered as an abundant small nuclear RNA in the mid-70s but a possible function has only recently been suggested. Two independent studies have found that 7SK RNA binds the CDK9/cyclin T complex (known as elongation factor P-TEFb).
Source: Rfam by way of RNAcentral
GGAUGUGAGGGCAAUCUGGCUGCGACAUCUGUCACCCCACUGAUCGCCAGGGUUGAUUCGGCUGAUCUGGCUGGCUAGGCGGGUGUCCCCUCCUCCCUCACCGCUCCAUGUGCGUCCCUCCCGAAGCUGCGUGCUCAGUCGAAGAGGACAACCUUCCCCGAUAGAGGAGGACCAUUCUUCGGUCAAGGGUAUACGAAUAGCUGUGCUCCCCUGCUAGAACCUCCAAACAAGCUCCCAAGGUCCAUACCUCAGUUUCUUCUCUUGUAGAGCAGGUGGGUUAAUAAGAGUACUUGCCUUGUAAUGUUGACUUAAUAGUUGUGAAAAUAUAAGAGUC